RNAcentral lists this ribosomal RNA (367 nucleotides) under uncultured prokaryote. RNAcentral describes it as "bacterial SSU rRNA". It matches the Rfam family "Bacterial small subunit ribosomal RNA", at positions 124 to 502 of the family's 1533-position model. The record is from RNAcentral.
ACCUACCCCGAAGAGAGGGAUAAGCUCGAGAAAUCGGGUCUAAUACCUCGUAAGCUCCCCUGGUUACGGCCAGAGGAGGAAAAGUCUAGCAAUAGAUUGCUUUGGGAGGGGCUUGCGGCCUAUCAGGCAGUUGGCGGGGUAACAGCCCACCAAACCUAAGACGGGUAACCGGUGUGAGAGCAUGAACGGUCAGAGGGGGACUGCGACACGGCCCCCACUCCUACGGGAGGCAGCAGCAGGGAAUAUUGCGCAAUGGGCGAAAGCCUGACGCAGCGACACCGCGUGAGGGAAGAAGGCCUUCGGGUUGUAAACCUCUUUUCCCAGGGAAUAGAGAGGACGGUACCUGGGGAAUAAGCCUCGGCUAACU